This 299-nucleotide ribosomal RNA is filed under the name uncultured bacterium. Its description in RNAcentral is "partial 16S ribosomal RNA". It matches the Rfam family "Bacterial small subunit ribosomal RNA", at positions 337 to 628 of the family's 1533-position model. The record is from RNAcentral.
CCCUACGGGGCGCAGCAGUAGGGAAUCUUCCACAAUGGGCGAAAGCCUGAUGGAGCAACGCCGCGUGGGUGAAGAAGGUCUUCGGAUCGUAAAACCCUGUUGUUAGAGAAGAAAGUGCGUGAGAGUAACUGUUCACGUUUCGACGGUAUCUAACCAGAAAGCCACGGCUAACUACGUGCCAGCAGCCGCGGUAAUACGUAGGUGGCCAGCGUUAUCCGGAUUUAUUGGGCGUAAAGGGAACGCAGGCGGUCUUUUAAGUCUGAUGUUUAAGCCUCCGGCUUAACCGGCGUAGUGCAUUG